AAAAAUAUUUUUCAGUUCGCCUCAUACAAUACCCUAAUACAGUCUCGUUAUCUUGAAAGUGCAACUCACAAAUGUAGACUUAUUUUUUACAUAACUGCACUCGAAAACAAAUAAGUCCUACAAUGAAAAACUUCAGAGCCAACA
Molecule: non-coding RNA, 144 nt
Organism: Chelonoidis abingdonii (Abingdon island giant tortoise)
Lineage: Eukaryota; Metazoa; Chordata; Testudines; Testudinidae
Source: RefSeq, a predicted model, not a curated record